UGGGCUGAAGUUGUACCCUCCAGGUGGAU
RNAcentral lists this non-coding RNA (29 nucleotides) under Mus musculus (house mouse). Lineage: Eukaryota; Metazoa; Chordata; Mammalia; Rodentia; Muridae. The record is from RNAcentral.